This 790-nucleotide ribosomal RNA is filed under the name uncultured bacterium. Its description in RNAcentral is "bacterial SSU rRNA". It matches the Rfam family "Bacterial small subunit ribosomal RNA", at positions 1 to 784 of the family's 1533-position model. The record is from RNAcentral.
UAGAGUUUGAUCCUGGCUCAGGAUGAACGCUGGCGGCGUGCUUAACACAUGCAAGUCGAACGGAACUGUCAUUUUUGAAGCAAUUAGCUUGCUAAGGGUGGAAAUGUUGGCAGUUUAGUGGCGGACGGGUGAGUAACGCGUGGGUAACCUGCCUUACACAGGGGGAUAACACCUGGAAACAGGUGCUAAUACCGCAUAACAGGAAGAGGCGCAUGCCACUUUCUUGAAAACUCCGGUGGUGUAAGAUGGACCCGCGUCUGAUUAGCUAGUUGGCGGGGUAACGGCCCACCAAGGCGACGAUCAGUAGCCGGCCUGAGAGGGUGGACGGCCACAUUGGGACUGAGACACGGCCCAAACUCCUACGGGAGGCAGCAGUGGGGAAUAUUGGACAAUGGGGGGAACCCUGAUCCAGCGACGCCGCGUGAGUGAAGAAGUAUUUCGGUAUGUAAAGCUCUAUCAGCAGGGAAGAAAGAAAUGACGGUACCUGACUAAGAAGCCCCGGCUAACUACGUGCCAGCAGCCGCGGUAAUACGUAGGGGGCAAGCGUUAUCCGGAUUUACUGGGUGUAAAGGGAGCGUAGACGGUGAUGCAAGUCUGAAGUGAAAGGCGGGGGCUCAACCCCCGGACUGCUUUGGAAACUGUAUGACUGGAGUGCAGGAGAGGUAAGUGGAAUUCCUAGUGUGGCGGUGAAAUGCGUAGAUAUUAGGAGGAACACCAGUGGCGAAGGCGGCUUACUGGACUGUAACUGACGUUGAGGCUCGAAAGCGUGGGGAGCAAACAGGAUUAGAUA